Molecule: small nucleolar RNA, 82 nt
Filed under: Eutrema salsugineum
Lineage: Eukaryota; Viridiplantae; Streptophyta; Magnoliopsida; Brassicales; Brassicaceae
Description: Plant small nucleolar RNA R71
Rfam family: Plant small nucleolar RNA R71
About the family: R71 is a member of the C/D box family of snoRNAs containing the C (UGAUGA) and D (CUGA) box motifs. Multiple nearly identical copies of this snoRNA have been identified in Arabidopsis, and it is thought to function as a 2'-O-ribose methylation guide for 18S ribosomal RNA.
Source: Rfam by way of RNAcentral
AACCCAUGGUGUGGGCAUUGGUUGGUGUAGCUCCUGAAUCUCUCAUAUGCUGAGUGAAGCUAGAGAUUUGGUUCCUCAGUUU